Molecule: ribosomal RNA, 350 nt
Filed under: uncultured bacterium
Lineage: Bacteria
Description: bacterial SSU rRNA
Rfam family: Bacterial small subunit ribosomal RNA
Source: RNAcentral
GUGAGGAACCUGCCUCAAAGAGGGGGACAACAGUUGGAAACGACUGCUAAUACCGCAUAAGCCCACGACCCGGCAUCGGGAAGAGGGAAAAGGAGCAAUCCGCUUUGAGAUGGCCUCGCGUCCGAUUAGCUAGUUGGUGAGGUAACGGCCCACCAAGGCGACGAUCGGUAGCCGGACUGAGAGGUUGAACGGCCACAUUGGGACUGAGACACGGCCCAGACUCCUACGGGAGGCAGCAGUGGGGAAUAUUGCACAAUGGGGGAAACCCUGAUGCAGCGACGCCGCGUGGAGGAAGAAGGUCUUCGGAUUGUAAACUCCUGUUGUUGAGGAAGAUAAAGACGGUACUCAAC